This 526-nucleotide long non-coding RNA is filed under the name Fukomys damarensis (Damara mole-rat). Its description in RNAcentral is "lncRNA (ENSFDAG00000024908.1)". Lineage: Eukaryota; Metazoa; Chordata; Mammalia; Rodentia; Bathyergidae. The record is from RNAcentral.
UGGCUGGUGAGUAGACAAGCGGUAAGAGAGAAACACAGACACAUGUGCUGUGGGGACUUGUGUCAGGCCCCUCAGUGGUCACGGCAGAGCUGGGGGUGAGAGGACAAGGCAGGCAGCCCAUGGGCUGAGUGCAAGGGGUUCUGGAGUCUGCUCUCCCCACAACCAUGUUCCAGCACAGGAAUCUGAGGAGGGUGAGAAUUCUACAUUCAAACUUGACCUUACUAAGGCCAUUACUAAGACUUCCUUGUCAAGCGAGGAGGCUAGAACACAGCUGCAACAGACUUAGACACAAGCCUCUCAGAUAUGUGCCAGCACACUUGGCAAGAGGACCUAUGACACAGAGGUGCCCCAGAGGCCAGCAAUGUUCCCUGGAAGUAGCACACCAAGAGAUGACAGAGAACAAACCAGCGAUCUGUCAGCAUCUGUCCGAUGGGGCUGUAGCUCCCCACCACCACCACCACAUACACACCUAGGACCCUUCUCUGUUCCUCUCCACUCUCCCUGGUCUGGUGCAGAUCACGCCCCA